Molecule: ribosomal RNA, 483 nt
Filed under: uncultured bacterium
Lineage: Bacteria
Description: partial 16S ribosomal RNA
Rfam family: Bacterial small subunit ribosomal RNA
Source: RNAcentral
UUGAACGCUGGCGGCAGGCCUAACACAUGCAAGUCGAGCGGAUGAAGGGAGCUUGCUCCUGGAUUCAGCGGCGGACGGGUGAGUAAUGCCUAGGAAUCUGCCUGGUAGUGGGGGAUAACGUCCGGAAACGGGCGCUAAUACCGCAUACGUCCUGAGGGAGAAAGUGGGGGAUCUUCGGACCUCACGCUAUCAGAUGAGCCUAGGUCGGAUUAGCUAGUUGGUGGGGUAAAGGCCUACCAAGGCGACGAUCCGUAACUGGUCUGAGAGGAUGAUCAGUCACACUGGAACUGAGACACGGUCCAGACUCCUACGGGAGGCAGCAGUGGGGAAUAUUGGACAAUGGGCGAAAGCCUGAUCCAGCCAUGCCGCGUGUGUGAAGAAGGUCUUCGGAUUGUAAAGUACUUUAAGUUGGGAGGAAGGGCAGUAAGUUAAUACCUUGCUGUUUUGACGUUACCAACAGAAUAAGCACCGGCUAACUUCGUG